GGGUCAGUAGGUUGGUCGUGCCACCGGUACGUACUGGUCUCACUGAUUCCUCCUUCCUGAAGAACCGUAAUGCCAUUAAUUUGGUGUUGCGGGGAAACAGGACUGUUACUUUGAAAAAAUUAGAGUGUUUAAAGCAAGCUAACGCUUGAAUACAUUAGCAUGGAAUAAUGAAAUAGGACGUUCGAUCCUAUUCUGUUGGUUUCUAGGAUUGACGUA
RNAcentral lists this ribosomal RNA (216 nucleotides) under Glomeromycotina sp. RNAcentral's name for it is "partial small subunit ribosomal RNA". The stretch from base 40 to 216 matches the Rfam family "Eukaryotic small subunit ribosomal RNA", at positions 686 to 864 of the family's 1831-position model. Lineage: Eukaryota; Fungi; Glomeromycota. The record is from RNAcentral.